GAUGAACGCUGGCGGCGUGCCUAAUACAUGCAAGUCGAGCGAACAGACGAGGAGCUUGCUUCUCUGACGUUAGCGGCGGACGGGUGAGUAACACGUGGAUAACCUACCUAUAAGACUGGGAUAACUUCGGGAAACCGGAGCUAAUACCGGAUAAUAUAUUGAACCGCAUGGUUCAAUAGUGAAAGACGGUUUUGCUGUCACUUAUAGAUGGAUCCGCGCCGCAUUAGCUAGUUGGUAAGGUAACGGCUUACCAAGGCAACGAUGCGUAGCCGACCUGAGAGGGUGAUCGGCCACACUGGAACUGAGACACGGUCCAGACUCCUACGGGAGGCAGCAGUAGGGAAUCUUCCGCAAUGGGCGAAAGCCUGUCGGAGCAACGCCGCGUGAGUGAUGAAGGUCUUCGGAUCGUAAAACUCUGUUAUUAGGGAAGAACAAAUGUGUAAGUAACUAUGCACGUCUUGACGGUACCUAAUCAGAAAGCCACGGCUAACUACGUG
Molecule: ribosomal RNA, 497 nt
Filed under: uncultured bacterium
Lineage: Bacteria
Description: partial 16S ribosomal RNA
Rfam family: Bacterial small subunit ribosomal RNA
Source: RNAcentral